Coprinopsis cinerea okayama7#130 is the source of this 106-nucleotide transfer RNA. It matches the Rfam family "tRNA". Rfam says of the family: Transfer RNA (tRNA) molecules are approximately 80 nucleotides in length. Their secondary structure includes four short double-helical elements and three loops (D, anti-codon, and T loops). Lineage: Eukaryota; Fungi; Basidiomycota; Agaricomycetes; Agaricales; Psathyrellaceae. The record is from Rfam.
GGCCUGAUGGUCUAGUAGUAUGAUUCCUUGUUAGGGAGCAGCAGGCGCUAACCGCGUAGGCUUGCGAAUUUCGAGGAGGUCCCGGGUUCAAUUCCCGGUCAGGCCC